Molecule: ribosomal RNA, 424 nt
Filed under: uncultured bacterium
Lineage: Bacteria
Description: bacterial SSU rRNA
Rfam family: Bacterial small subunit ribosomal RNA
Source: RNAcentral
UAAGGAAUAUUGGGCAAUGGACGCAAGUCUGACCCAGCCAUGCCGCGUGAAGGAUGACGGUCCUCUGGAUUGUAAACUUCUUUUAUCUGGGGCGAAAACCACCCUUUCUAGGGUAUUUGACAGUACCAGAUGAAUAAGCACCGGCUAACUCCGUGCCAGCAGCCGCGGUAAUACGGAGGGUGCAAGCGUUAUCCGGAUUCACUGGGUUUAAAGGGUGCGUAGGCGGGCAGGUAAGUCAGUGGUGAAAUCUUCGAGCUUAACUCGGAAACUGCCGUUGAUACUAUCUGUCUUGAAUUUAGUGGAGGUAAGCGGAAUAUGUCAUGUAGCGGUGAAAUGCUUAGAUAUGACAUAGAACACCAAUUGCGAAGGCAGCUUGCUACACUAUUAUUGACGCUGAGGCACGAAAGCGUGGGGAUCAAACAGG